AUCUUAUGAAGAGAGGUAGAGGGACUGGCCCUAUGACACCUCAGCAACCCCACGUUAGUGGAAGGUGCUAAUUCCAUCAGAACGAUUGUUCUGAGAGAUAAGAA
This 104-nucleotide non-coding RNA is filed under the name Geomicrobium sp. JCM 19038. Its description in RNAcentral is "SAM riboswitch aptamer (S box leader)". It matches the Rfam family "SAM riboswitch aptamer (S box leader)". From Rfam's summary of the family: The SAM riboswitch is found upstream of a number of genes which code for proteins involved in methionine or cysteine biosynthesis in Gram-positive bacteria. The SAM riboswitch acts at the level of transcription termination control. Lineage: Bacteria; Bacillati; Bacillota; Bacilli; Caryophanales. The record is from Rfam by way of RNAcentral. RNAcentral also lists the same sequence under 1 other name.